CGGUGUUACAUCUCUUUUAGAAUUUGUCUAACAAAUUCCAGCGAAGACUGGAAAACCG
Molecule: small nuclear RNA, 58 nt
Organism: Nomascus leucogenys (northern white-cheeked gibbon)
Lineage: Eukaryota; Metazoa; Chordata; Mammalia; Primates; Hylobatidae
Gene: U7
Rfam family: U7 small nuclear RNA
About the family: Animal histone pre-mRNAs are spliced by a different mechanism than nuclear pre-mRNAs and self-splicing introns. This processing involves the U7 snRNP, which contains only one RNA species: U7. The 5' end of U7 RNA is thought to base-pair to a conserved spacer element downstream of the cleavage site in histone pre-mRNA.
Source: Ensembl